RNAcentral lists this transfer RNA (24 nucleotides) under Hemibagrus nemurus (Asian redtail catfish). RNAcentral describes it as "partial tRNA-Pro". The record is from RNAcentral. Lineage: Eukaryota; Metazoa; Chordata; Actinopteri; Siluriformes; Bagridae.
CAGAAAAUAGUUUAGUUUAGAAUC